UUUAAAUGGCCGCAGUAUCCUAACUGUGCAAAGGUAGCAUAAUCAUUAGUCUUUUAAUUGAAGGCUGGUAUGAAUGGUUGGACGAGAUAUUAACUGUUUCAUAAAAAUUUAUAAUAGAAUUUUAUUUUUUAGUCAAAAAGCUAAAAUAAAUUUAAAAGACGAGAAGACCCUAUAAAUCUUUAUAUUUAGAUAAUUACAAUUUUGUGGAUUUUUUUUGUUGUGAUUGUUGAUAAUAUUUUAUUGGGGUGAUAUUAAAAUUUAAAAAACUUUUAAUUAAUUAAAUCAUUAAUUUAUGAAUAAUUGAUCCGUUAUUAACGAUUAAAAAUUUAAGUUACUUUAGGGAUAACAGCGUAAUUUUUUUGGAGAGUUCAUAUCGAUAAAAAAGAUUGCGACCUCGAUGUUGGAUUAAGAGAUAUAUUUUGGUGCAGUCGCUAAAAUGUUAAGUCUGUUCGACUUUUAA
RNAcentral lists this ribosomal RNA (460 nucleotides) under Musca domestica (house fly). RNAcentral's name for it is "partial 16S ribosomal RNA". It matches the Rfam family "Bacterial large subunit ribosomal RNA", at positions 1922 to 2591 of the family's 2925-position model. The record is from RNAcentral. Lineage: Eukaryota; Metazoa; Arthropoda; Insecta; Diptera; Muscidae.